UGUGAUGUCCUCCUGAGUUUCAGUCCCAU
This 29-nucleotide non-coding RNA is filed under the name Rattus norvegicus (Norway rat). Lineage: Eukaryota; Metazoa; Chordata; Mammalia; Rodentia; Muridae. The record is from RNAcentral.